UACAGAGGGGGCUAGCGUUAUUCGGAAUUAUUGGGCGUAAAGGGCGCGUAGGCGGCCAUGCGUGUCUUCCGUGAAAUCCCUCGGCUUAACUGAGGACGUGCGGAAGAAACUGCAAGGCUCGAGUCCGGGAGAGGGGGGUGGAAUUCCCAGUGUAGCGGUGAAAUGCGUAGAUAUUGGGAGGAACACCGGUGGCGAAGGCGGCAUCCUGGACCGGCAUUGACGCUGAGGCGCGAAAGCCAGGGGAGCAAACGGG
This 253-nucleotide ribosomal RNA is filed under the name uncultured bacterium. RNAcentral's name for it is "partial 16S ribosomal RNA". It matches the Rfam family "Bacterial small subunit ribosomal RNA", at positions 524 to 776 of the family's 1533-position model. The record is from RNAcentral.